RNAcentral lists this ribosomal RNA (256 nucleotides) under uncultured bacterium. RNAcentral describes it as "partial 16S ribosomal RNA". It matches the Rfam family "Bacterial small subunit ribosomal RNA", at positions 524 to 777 of the family's 1533-position model. The record is from RNAcentral.
UACGUAGGUGGCAAGCGUUGUCCGGAAUUUAUUGGGCGUAAAGCGCGCGCAGGCGGUUUCUUAAGUCUGAUGUGAAAGCCCCCGGCUCAACCGGGGAGGGUCAUUGGAAACUGGGAAACUUGAGUGCAGAAGAGGAAAGUGGAAUUCCAAGUGUAGCGGGUGAAAUGCGUAGAGAUUUGGAGGAACACCAGUGGCGAAGGCGACUUUCUGGUCUGUAACUGACGCUGAGGCGCGAAAGCGUGGGGAGCAAACAGGG